RNAcentral lists this unclassified non-coding RNA (226 nucleotides) under Hevea brasiliensis (rubber tree). The record is from RNAcentral. Lineage: Eukaryota; Viridiplantae; Streptophyta; Magnoliopsida; Malpighiales; Euphorbiaceae.
AUUUGCGUGCUUGUUAUAACAAACACAAUUUUUUACUUUAUUAAGUGGUUCCCAACAUUUUGUGUCAUUCUGGAUGUGGGCAUGGAGCACUGCUCCCCAUCCAUUUAAUGAGUAAUGUAGUUGAUAUUCUGAAAAUCUAUCUGUUCUUAGCAUCCUUAUUUGUUGCGGAGUAUAAAUGCAAUCUACUAUGCAUCACAUUUAUAAGUAUAGAUUUGACCUUAGUGAC